CCCACAAGGACGAUGACCCCACUCCUGGACCUGACACAGAAACGCUCUGGAAUUUCCCCAAUUGACAACCGCCAGGUGGCGGGAAUUUCCCCCAACCGAUCACGUCAUUCUCAAGCCCCUUAUCAGCCUCGUGGCCACAUUUAGCUCUUUUGUCCCGAAGAAGGCGGAGCUUCCGCCGUAACGUAGACAUUCUCCCUAACUUUCAUGAUUUUUAAGUUUUAAUAAACCCCUUUUUUGUUACUUCCCCUACUUUCGUCUUCUGUCUCCCAUUUAUUUCAACUAUAAUUACGUAGCCGUCCGAUCCAACUCCAACUUUUCAAGAUAUUAUUCUACGAUGGCUGCUAGGACAGACAGGCCGAAGAUAGUCAGGAAGUAUCCAUUUUAUGCUCCCACAGUUGCUGUUCUCGGCGACUCCCAGACUAAGCACCUGUACCACCACUUUGAUUUCAGGUCCCGCUCGACACCAACGAUGUUCGUGUCCCGCAGCGGAGGACGUAUCCUGGACUUCAUCGAGGAGGUGGACCUACUACCGGCCAGCGUUCGUGUCGUUGUCCUACACUGUGGGACUAACGACAUGCCGUUCGUUGAGCCCAAGUUGGCCAUCUCGCACUACCAGACACUUCUCGAAAGGAUCCGUGCCCGUGGAGGCAUUGAAAUGGCGGCGUAGGGAGUUUCAGUGUAACCCACGGGCACACGCCUUCAACCGCCAGCUGGUCCAGCUAUGCAGGAGGUCCCGGGACCUUUUCUACCUCGACCAUGGCUUCUACCGACGACGUCCAACCCAGGUGCUUGCGGCGGAUGGCCUUCACCCAAACUUCGAAGGAGUGCGGAUGAUGAGCCGCCACCUCCAGGACCUGAUCGACAACCUGCUUCGACAACUUCCACCACGCAGAGCUGACGCCCCGGUCAUCCCGGAUCCAGUGUGGCCCACCCCACAAGAGGCAGCCAUGCUGCGACGAAGACACUCCGAACGGACAUCGAGGGCACGUAAACAGGACUGACUAACCGCCGCCAGAUCAAGGUCCCCACUGACCCACAAGGACGAUGACCCCACUCCUGGACCUGACACAGAAACGCUCUGGAAUUUCCCCAAUUGACAACCGCCAGGUGGCGGGAAUUUCCCCCAACCGAUCACGUCAUUCUCAAGCCCCUUAUCAGCCUCGUGGCCACAUUUAGCUCUUUUGUCCCGAAGAAGGCGGAGCUUCCGCCGUAACGUAGACAUUCUCCCUAACUUUCAUGAUUUUUAAGUUUUAAUAAACCCCUUUUUUGUUACUUCCCCUACUUUCGUCUUCUGUCUCCCAUUUAUUUCAACUAUAAUUACG
Ornithodoros turicata is the source of this 1322-nucleotide long non-coding RNA. RefSeq lists it as uncharacterized. The transcript has 3 exons. NCBI's taxonomy places the organism in Eukaryota, Metazoa, Arthropoda, Arachnida, Ixodida, Argasidae. The record is from RefSeq and is a predicted model, not a curated record.